UGGGGUUGUCUUGUAGUAUGGGGGCAGCUUCUAAUUAUAUAUGGAGCUGGAGUGAAUUUAAUAUAUAUCUUUCCCUGUGCUGGUAGGAUUCAGGACUCUUCAGUAUAGGAGGUAGAGUUGGGGGUUUGGCAUGAUGAGGUUGUGGUCUCACAAUGGGAGGUGAAGAACUUGGUGCUUUUUUUAAUAUAAUAUAAUUAUAAAUUAAUUUAAUUUACGGAGAAGGGAAUUUGAGCUUCAGUGCAGGAGGGGCCGGCUUACUAUCCUAGCCAAUUGGCUUACAUCUGUAAAGAACUUAUUGAUUUGACAGGUGGCUCUACUAUGAGAAAAACUUAUAUGAAACAGGGAUAUCACGGUUUUGCUAUCCCUAACCAAUUAUGCUAUGCCAAGUGGAAAAGUUAUCACGUGUGGCAUAGCAUGAUUGAUAGAGGAUAGCAAACCAGUGCUAUACCCAUUGCACAUAAGCAAGGUCUAAAAUAUCGAGAAAAUAUUGGACUCGUUCAAGGUUAAAGAAAACUUAAAAAACAUUAGCCUCUCUCUCUCUCUCUCUCUCUCUCUCUCUCUCUCUCUCUCUCUCUCUCUCCUUGCCGACAACCAACCUUUCUUAAGCUAGGGGAGGUGUCCACUGCCGCUCCUCCCCUCUGCCCAUCUUCUCCAUUCCUAUCCUCUCUCCCAUCUUUUUCCAUUCCUCUCAUCUUUUUUCUCCCUCUUUCCACUUUCCUUAGGGCUCUUGCUGGCCCUUAUCUCCCAUUCCUCUUCUCCUCUCUAGAUAUACUUAGAUCUUGGGCUUUUAGCCUUGAUUUAUUUGGAUCUAGGUAUGUUUGUGUGUUUUUUUUGUUUGGCUAUUUUUGCACUGUUCUAGGUGGCUGGUGUUGUCUUCAUCUCGGUGGCUACAUGUAACAUCCCACAUCGACUUACGAAGAGGGGAUGAUGUGACUUAUAUGUACAUGCUCACCUCCAUCUAGCACGAGGCCUUUUGGGAGCUCACUGGCUUCGGAGUCAUGAGAACUUCGAAGUUAAGCGAGUUUGGGCUAGAGUAAUCUCAGGAUGGGUGACCCAUUGGGAAGUUGCUCAUAAGUUCCCAGAAACAAAAAUCGUAAAGGCAGGGGGCCCAAAGCGGACAAUAUCGUGCUACGACCGAGCCGAUCAGGAAUGUGACACUGCAACAGUAGUGACGCUGGAUUGGGUCUCUCUCUUUAGGAGAGUUGGGAUACUUGGUGACUAAUAUUUUGUCUUUGUUUCAACGAUCGCGGCAGCAUCGACGCUGGUUGUAGUUGUUGGCAUGUGGUGGUGUGCCCUCUGAGGGGUUUCGUCUUCUGUUUUAGCAUAUGUUUUGUUGUCAUUUUCCAUUGUUUUGUUGCUCAUUUGCAGCUUGUCUCUACUCUGUGCAGCCCAAAGACCUAUGUUUGGUCAUAUGAGUUCCUUUGUCAUGUUCUAAGUUGAGUUGGAGUGCUUUUAAGAGGCCUCUCUUAUUAUUAUUUCAUGCUCUUCAACUGUGUGCUUUCUUGGGUUUCUGUCAUUUGUGUGUUUUUGUAGUUCGUAGGCAGUUAAAUGACUAUGAGUUUAUCUCAUAAAAGGCUUCUUUUGACAAUUGGGAUGCGAUGCGGUUCUCUUUAUGGGUCUAUUGUGUUAGUGUUUAAUUGAUUUUUUUUUUUCUGUUCUUGUAAUGGUCUUUUGUGGUUCAGGUCUUAGUCCUUGGCAUGUGUAGUACUCUUUCCUAUCCUAGGGUUUGUCUAAAGUGGUUUUCCUAAUAAGGUUUUAAUUAGGCUAUUGUAUUCAUACUAGUCUUUGUAUGCCGUUUUGGCUUAUUAAUGAAAUCUUCUUCUAUAAAAAAAGGUCUAAAAUAUCAAGGGUUUAGGAAAUAUCGGAGGUCCAAAAAUACGGAAAUAUUGGGAAAUUAUCGAUAUCGAGAAAAAUUGAAUAAAAACCACUGAAACUGUAAGAAAAUUUUGAUUCAAACUUUAGAGGUUGUUUAUUUUGUCAAUUAUCUAUUAUUUUGAUUUAUUUAAGUUGAUUAUAUAGCGAGCUAACAAACAAUAUGAGUGCAGAAAAUAUGUAGUAAUUAAUGAAAAAAAUUAAAUGCCCAUAAUCAUUUAUUCAUAAUGAUUUACUAUAAUAUUUUACACUUUAUAUAUUGCAUGGUAAGAUGCACAAGUGACUUAGUACCACAUAGAGUUCCUAUGAGGUUCAAAAUUUUCAUUGUCUUCAUCGUCUCUAUGUGUAGAGUACGUGUACUAUGAAGAGUAGUCAUCAAAUGGUAAAUUCCCAAAAUAGCUUUGCAUGUAAUUGUUAACAUGUCACCCAUAAAGAUCCAAGAUUGGUUGACGUUGCCCAUAAGCAAAAUCAUUUGAAGAUUGGGCAUCAGAUUCUUUUCAUGAGCCGCUUGAUUCUAUCCCAAAAGGCAUGGGAUACGAAGCAUAAGGAAAGAGUUGGUUUUGCAUAUAAUAAAGUCAUUAGCAGUGUGGAGGAUAAGGCAUUGGAGGAAGAAUUGAAGUGGCACGGGUUCGAAUCCCCAUGCUUACACGCGUACAAGCCUUUUCAAUUUUUUUUUUUCUAUUCCAUGUCCAUAUUGCAUUAUUAUCACUAUUAUCACGAUAUUUUGAGCAAAUGUUGAUGUUAAUUGAAGGAUAUUAUUAGUGUCGAAAUUUUCCCAAAAUUUUCACGAUAUUAUCUAUAUAUAUAAAGCAAAAGGCAGAGAAUGGUGAAACAUUCAAAAUACCAGAAAAUGCCCUUGGUUAAUACAAACAUUAAGAAUUGAAAUUAUUAAUUAAAUGAGGAUAAUAUGGUAAAUUCAUAAUUUUUCGUAUUAAAAAAAUUAAAAUUAAAAGAAAAUUCAGAUAAUAGGUCCUAUUUUUAUGGAACACAAAUAUCCAUUAUCUUUUUUAAUUCUAAAAUAAAUUUAAAUUUUUUUUAAAAAAAACCUCUCGCAUGCGCGGAAGCGCGUGUAGAGAGGCUAGUCUAUAUUUAUAUGAUAAGUACACAGAUCUGUUCCAAAAUAUCCCCUUGCCGAAAAACGAUAAUAUCCUCAAUAUUUCAGCGAUAUUAUCGAUAUUUCAGUCCUUGCACACAAUUAAGUUUCUCCUCUACUAUAGCACAAUCUCCAAACAAUAGCACACGCAACUUUGAGAAACUUUUGAAAGCAAUUUUCCAUCAAAAUCCUGAUAUUGAUUUGAUUGCCCUCCACAAGAAAACAUUCUAUGUAAUCAAUUUGACACGUGUGAUCAUAUUGCCCUUAAUAUAUUAGUACUUUUUUUCUUCUUCUGAAAACAAGAAGAGGUUUCAAAUUUAAAUCCCUUUUCCGUUAAUUUUUUUUUAAAAAUGAUGUUGGUGUAGUGCCUAUUAAAGAUGGCUUGGCGGUAAAGUUAGUCUAAUGAGAUUCUAAGAUAUAGAUGGAUUGUUUAGUUCAAGAUUUAGGAGCUUAGUAAUUGGUAUGAAAUUGCAUUCCCAUAUUUGGUAAAUGCAUUUUUUAGAAUGCAAUACCUAACUCAUUAGUAUGAAAUUCUCAUGUAGAGAGAAUUUCAUACCUUUAGUGCUCCUUGGGAAACUCUUCGUCUAUUGACCCUUAAAAUAGGGUCUAGUCUAGUGGAAAAGAGCAUUGACUUGCAGGUCAGUUGUCUCAUGUUUGAAUCUAGAUGGCACUUUGGAUGUGAGAAACCCUUUUGUAGGACUUAGACUAUCAAUAAUAUUAAAAUAAUACUAAUAAUAACUCAAGGGUGUUACUGAAAAACUGAAAAACUGAAAACUGAAAAACUUUUCAUUUAUAAUACUACACGAACCACACAUAGGAAUGCGAGAAAAUGGCUUUUCCUAAUUCUCACUUCCCAGCGUUCCCAAUCAUGGGAAUGAACAUCCGUCAUUCCCAUAUCGUAGGAUUAGACAUGGAAAUUUCAUUCCCAUGAAAUUUGCAAACCAAACGGGACAGAGAGUUGGAACAAUGCAAAGAUUUUGUUUAUCUUUUGGUUGGGCCAAUAAGUUUCUGGGCCUCCAUUUAUUGUAUCUGGGCCGUUAGAUUUCGGCCUCCCUGUUCUGUUUGUAACCCAGCGGAGGUUGGAGCGCUUUUCUUGUUCUUUGGGCUUAGUUAUAUUUCCUUGUUCUUUGGGCUAUUUCUAAAUUAUUUGGGUUGUGCCUUUUUCUGCGUUUGACGUCGUUUAAUGUUUAAUUUGUUUGAUUUUUGAGUUGGAGCUGGUUGGGUCCUUCUCAUUUGAAGGUAGGGUCAGUCUCAAAUGGAAAAUAUUAUUGCUUGAUGUGAAAAAUAAAGAAAUUCGGUUUUGUGGGCUUAUGGCCUAAAUUAAUUGAGGAAUAAUGCCAUUCAAAAGACUGAAUUAACAUGACCCACAUUUUUCCAUCCUGGAAAACUUGUUCCUUAAGCAGAUCAUGGCUACUGAUGAAGUAAAGAAGAAAGGGAUGCUUAAAAAGAGAUAUAUAUAUAUAUAUAUCAAAUGAGCCAAGAAUUAAUGAAAUUUUGUAAAACUGAGAUUACUGAAUUACUUGAAAAAGGAAUAAUCUGUAAGAUUAGUCACCCUGGUCUUGUCCUGCUUUCUAUGUCCAGAAAAAUGCUGAAUUAGAACGCGGAGUCCUAAGAUUAGUCAACCCAAGUGGCUGGUUUAGAUUUUCUGAGUCAAAAGAGUCUUUGAGCACAGCUUCAAGAAAGUCACUCCAGUUGAAUUAUGAGAUUCCUAAAGCCCAUGUCUGUCAAAAUAAAAUCUGUUUUAAGACUUCUUUUGUCUUAGUUAAGAACAUUACUGAUGAAGUCAUCCUAGGUUUAUCCUUUAUUGCCCUUUUAUAUCCUUUCCAGGUAGAACACGAUGGAGUCAUUUCCACCUGUUUAGGAGAAAAGGUUAAGUUUGAAUUCCUUAGUAAACCAGAGUUACAUAAUUUAAAAGAAUUACAAAAGAAUGCAGUCACUAAAACAAUCAGAGUCAUUCAAAAUAAAGAUAAGCAACUAAAAUUCCUCCAGGACGAAGUUAAAUAAAAAAGAAUUGAGCAACAGCUUAGUCAUGAGUCUUUACAGUCACAAAUUCGACAGUUUGAAGAAAAAUUAAAACAAGAAGUUUGUUCUGAGUUGCCCAACGCCUUUUGGCAUAGGAAACAGCAUGUAGUCAGCCUUCCUUAUGUCAAAUCCUUUAGUGAGAAAAAUAUCCCCACUAAAGCCAGACCAAUUCAAAUGAGCCAAAAAUUAAUGGAAUUUUGUAAAACUGAGAUUACUGAAUUACUUGAAAAAGGAAUAAUCCGUAAGAGUAAGUCACCUUGGUCUUGUCCUGCUUUCUAUGUCCAGAAAAAUGCUGAAUUAGAACACAGAGUCCCAAGAUUAGCCAUUAAUUACAAACUGCUUAAUACUGUUUUAGAAUGGAUUAGAUAUCCAAUCCCCAAUAAAAGAGAUUUAAUUAAUCGUUUAGAGAAGUCAGUCAUCUUUUCUAAAUUUGAUAUGAAGAGUGGAUUUUGGCAAAUCCAAAUUUGUGAGUCUGAUAGAUAUAAAACUGCUUUCGUUACCCCAUUUGGUUAUUAUGAGUGGAAUGUUAUGUCAUUUGGUCUUAAAAAUGCACCCAGUGAGUUUCAAAAUAGAAUGAAUGAGAUUUUUAUUCCAUUUAAUCACUUUUCCAUAGUCUAUAUUGAUGAUGUACUUAUAUUUUCUGAGUCAAUAGAACAGCACUGGAAAAAUUUGCAUAAGUUCUUACAAAUAGUCAAACAAAAUGGAUUAGUCGUAUCUGCUAAGAAAAUUAAGUUAUUCCAAACUAAUGUGAGAUUUCUUGGGUUUAAUAUCUGUCAGUCACAGAUUAGCCCCAUAGAUCGAGUUAUCCAAUUUGUUGAUAAAUUUCCUAAUCAAAUCCUAGACAAAAGUCAACUCCAGAGAUUUCUAGGAUCUCUAAAUUAUGUUUCUAAUUUCUAUAAGAAUUUGAGAAAACAAUGUAAGCCUUUAUUUGAUCAUGUAUGGAGACGUCUAAUGAUAAGAGGCAACUGGAAGAUUAGACGGAGCAAUAUCUUGGAAGGGAUCAUGACUGGAUAUUAGGGCAGACUGAAAACUGGGGCGAACCUGGCCGACUGUGGCUCCUAGGUUGGCAAAUCUGUUACUAAUUUGGAUGGGAGAAAAUCCCUGAAAGGGGAGGAUCUGAGCAGGUGACUCUUGUUUGGCUUGACUCAUUGAUGGAGGGAGGACUCGGAGUGACUGGGGUUGACUAGACUGACCAACUUGACUCUUUUGCUUGUCUUUUUCUUUUCUUCUUUAUGCCAUUGUUUUCCCUGCAGGAAUUCUCUAGUAAGAAAAUCAGGGACAAAAUAUAUAUAUGGAGUUUGAGUUGAGGGAUCUCUCAAAUAAGCUUAUUUGAGAGACAACUUGUAGGGUACACUCUUUGUUGUAUUUCACUAAUCCUAACCGUCUAUUUUUUAGAUAUUCAUUCAAAGAUCAUCUCUACAAAAAAUCACUUGAAUCCAAUAUCAUUUGACAAUUCAAUUGAAAUAUUGAAAUUUUAGUAUUUUCUUGAAGCACUGUGUUAAUUAAUUUUGUAUGACACAAUUGAAUAUUGAAAUAGUUUCCGAUUUGUCCAAUUUUUUUUCAAGGAUGAUCUAUAAUUGUAGGCUUAAGAAAUAGAUGGUUUGGAUCGUUGAGGGAUCCCUCAAAUAAUCUUAUUUAAAAGACACCUUUGUAGAGCUCACUCCACAUUGUAUUUCACUAAUCUAAACCGUUUAUUUUUUAGAUAAUCAUUCAAAGAUCACCUCUACAAAAAAUCACUUGAAUCCGAUAUCAUUUGACAAUUCAAUUGAGUUAUUGAAAUUUUAGUACUUUCUUAAACUACCGUGUUCAUUGAUUUUGAAGGACAUAAUUGGAUUUCGGUUUCUAUUUGUCAAAAUAUAUAUAUAUUGAACUACUUUUUGUUGCCAUUGUCUGCUGCUAGAUUCACACACACAUAUAUAUGCUCUUCCAUUGAUGAAGCUGGCAUUAUAUUUAUAGUGAAUUUCGUGAUGUGGAUUAUUGUGUUUGCGGACCAAUCAUUCUCUGUAUGUUGUGAAAGCUUUGUUUAUCAUGGUGGGUUUUGUCAUUUAAAAACAUAUACAAUGUCAACCAACCAAUUUUACAAUAUCAUAAAACACAAGUAAUAGUAUUACUGCAGUUGGAAAUUGAUAUUGCAUACAUAUAUAAAGCAAGAAACAACAUGCUCAAUCAGCCACAAGUGAAGAAACAACUUGCUGAUACAUAACCACAUGACAUGAAAAUUUCAUGCAAAUAACUAGUAAUUAUAAUGGAGUCACACUAGAAGCUGCUGCAAAAUGAGUUGGUGUCCAGAACUCUUAUUUCUAGCAAGCAACUGGCUCUCUCUCAUUUAUUCUAACUCACUAGUUGAGAUGGACAGGUGGAGUUCAGGGCUUCUGGGGUGGAUUGUAGUAUGGGGGAGGCUUCUUCUUAUAUGGAGUUGGAGGAGGAGGAGGUUUCUUCCCUUCUGGCUUUUGUGGGGGUAGAGGAGCCUUGAUUGGAGGAGGGUGUUUAGGGUAACUAGGUGUGAUUGGUUUCACAACAGGAGGUAGAGUUGGUGUCUUAGGAUAAGGUGGUGGAAGUGGCUUGGUCACCGGCGUAGGUGGCGGUGAAUGUACAAUAGGAGGCUGAGUGCUUGGUGGUUUGCCAUAAGGUGAGGAUGGUGGUGGCCUCACCACUCUAGGAGGCAGAGUUGGUGGUUUGGGUUUGGGCACUAUUGGUGGUGAUGGCUUGUUAUAAACUGGGGGUGAUGGCUUCUUGAUGGGAGCUGGGGGCUUGUAAAUAGGAGAAGGAGUUGGUGGUUUGGGUUUGGGCACUAUUGGUGGUGAUGGCUUCUUGAUGGGAGCUGGGGGCUUGUAAAUAGGAGAAGGAGUGGGUGGCUUGGGUUUUUCAUUGUACUCAGCUAGAGAUGAAGUGAUGAGAACCACCAGGCCAAACAAUAGCACAAGCAACUUUGAGUAACUCAUGGUGUUUGUGUUUUUGUGAUGGUAUAAGAUCUAGACGGCAUCGUUUGCUAUUUAUAGUGCUCUCAGGCCUGUGUCGGCAAUACGUGUCAAAAGAUCUUGGUCAUUUUGUUUCAUAGUUAACAGUCAAGGAUUUUCAAAUUCAUGAGAAGAAAAGUACGAUUUUUUUGGCUGAAUAAAAGUUUAGAAGAGGGGAGGCUACACCAUCUUAGAGUUAGGACAUAUCAAAGUUUUCUUGAGGAUUUACAGAGGGGGUUUUAGUCUUUUUUUUUUGUUUUUACAGAUUAUCCCCCAAAAAGAAUUUUCGGCAACAGAACCCGAAUCUAAGUCUUGAUAGCAAAGAGAAUGAUCCUUAUCAACUCAACCAACCCUCGUUGACAGAGAAGUAAGAUUUUCAAUUGGUACGGAUGAUUGUUGAUAUAAGUGUUGUUGAUAGAGAAUCCCAAGUAUAAAUGGUAAAUUCUCUUAAUCAUUUGAGCAACAAAUUCUUUAUAAGUAAUUUGACUGAUUGAUUAUUGAUUGCAAUAAUGGUAAGUGUAAAUAAAAAUUGAGUAGUAUUUAAUGGAAAAUGACAUGACAGUAUUUUACUAGUUGAAAAUAGAACCAAGUUGUCGGUGUAGAUAAAAACAAAUGAUUCAGUCUUCCAAAAUGUGGAGAUUUGAAUUUGUGUUCGUCUAGCAUUAAUCUUUUAAAAAGAUUUUGGAUUUUUAUGUGAAUUUAAGUUAAUUUGAGUCUACAUUAUGCGUUCCAUGGUCUAUAUAAUUUAGACUGGUUUAAUUUUCCACAUUGAAUGACUUUUGUAUGUGGACUUUUCCCCCCAUCUUUCUUUAUUAUUGUCCUCUCCUCCGUUGUCGUUAGUUUUGUCACUUAUCAUCCUUGUGGUGUGAUGAUAAUUGGAAACGAGUGUUUCUAUUCUCGUUUCCCAAGCUAUGUUAUUAAAAUCUAACAUGAUUUGCAAAGGAUUCAUUAGGGUAGUAAUUUGGAGUAUUUAUUUCCUCAGGUAAGUUCUGGGUUCGAGUCGUAGUAUCUGUGUAGUGUGUGAGAGUUUAGCAUGCUAUUGCCCCUCUCAAUAGGAAAGGUCCUAAAAAAAAUCUAACAUGGUUUAUAUUGGUAUCAGGACUCUUCCAAUGGGACUACUGAGGGAACUGAGGCCAAGCCAUUGAUAUGUCAGCUUAGCGUUAAUGAAGAAAUAAAUAUAUUUGCUAACCAAGGUGGUAUGGGACUAGUGUGUAAGUAAAUGCCUUCUUCAUUGGGCUAGACUCUGUUAGCAUUAGGCAUUAAAACUUAAUAUCUCUUCCAACGGUGAAAAAAGAUGUAUCACUGAAUCACUAUAGGUACGGUAUUAUUUCACUUUCAUCUUUUACUAUCUAUUUUCAACGUACUAUAUCACUAUUGGAACAAUGCAAAAUUUCUGGAAUCAAUUAGGGAACAAAGGUGUGAAUAUUAUAUCUCCGUUCCCUUUUGUAAUAAAAUAUGUAUAGAGUUGAGCAAUGGUCACAAAAUUCGUUGCUUUCCAAUAGAUUGCUAUUUCAUUUCUGGUUAAAUCGUCUUGUAGUGGAAAAAACUGAGUCUUCAGCAGCCGCGUUUCUUGAUUUCUCUCAUGGAUUUGGUGAAUUUGAUGGCUGCUUGCGGACCAAUUAGCCGAAGGACAUGUGCUCUCUAUCUAACCCCGUCAUAGUCUGUAUAGCUCUACCUAAAAGGUAAAAAUCAGAGAAAGGAGAGAUCGGACUUGCGACCAAAUAUAUAGUGAGACACAUUACAAGAUUCUUGAAAGAUCUUGAGCCUCUCGAUCUAAAUUGGUUUUGAUUUGGAUGUUCAUAUUUUAUAUUCUAUAUAUAUAUAAUAACGUAAUAUAUUUACUAAUCUUGUUUUUACAGAAAAUUGUUAAGGAUUAUUGCAAAACGAAAGUGUAUUUGUUUAUUUGUUUGGGUUAUUCCCACAAUGUUCAUCCCACCGCCGCGUAUUUUGCUUUCUCUAUAGUGGUUAGGUCCAUUCACGUCAAUAUUAUAUUCAAUCUAAUUUUAGCUUUCAAUUACCAGUGUCCACUCGGUUUUCUUGACGUUUUGAUGUCAUGUAUUGGACCCGAAUAUCGGAUAUCAUCUGUCUCUUCCGCUGAUGAAGGGAUAAAUGCCAUCGAAUCAGAAGAUCUUACUUUUCCAAGGGGGCUUUUCUCUUGUCUCCUCCCAAUCUUCGUCGACUAAGAUCUUACUUUUCUUUUUCUUCUUUUAUAUUUCUACCUUCUUAAUCACUGUACGAAGGGAGAAUUUAUCAAAAAUAGCUAAAAUUUGACUCUUAAUUUCAAAAAUGUUAAUUUUUGUAAAAAUUUCAAUAUAACAGAAAACUCACUUAAAUAGAUACAAAUGUCCUUAAAUUUAAAACUUACAUAAACCUAAAAAAGAAACCUUAUUAAAUAAAACUUUGAAAUAUUUCCUCCAAACACUUUUCCAAUCACCUCUAUUUCUUUUUCUCUUUUUUUUUCCUUCUUCCGUUUGUCUCCAGCAUCACUCCCUCUCUUUUCCUUUUUUUUUUUCUUUCUUCUUCUCUCCACAUAUAUAUAUAUAUAUAUAUAUAUAUAUCUAUCUAUCUAUCUCUCUCUCUCUAUCUCUCUCUCUCUCUCUCUCUCUCUCUCUCUGUGCAUAUCUCUAUUCUUCUUCUCUCCCAUUUUCUCCAAAUAAAAUGUAUGUAUUUAUUUGGCAAAAAAAAAAGUAUUUAGAACCAAAAAUUCAGAAAAUGAUUGAAUCAAUGCACAAGUAUAAUUUCCUCCUCUCACCCAAAAAAAAAUAUUUAUUUCACAUAACUUUAAUUCUUCAAAAACUGUCACAAAUUUAGAGGUAGUCUGUAGAACAAAAAAUUCAAUAAAACGAUCUACAUUAAAAAAAUAUAUAAUUAAAUAUUCAUUCAUUACAAUUCAUAAAGUUAAAGAGAAAAAUAUUACACCAGUCCGUCUAUGAGGUAGGAUGAAGUGCAAUUGAAUUCUUGGAAGUUUGUCAAUAAUGGCCAAUUGAACCACAUCUUGAACACUUACGAGUUGAUGGUUCUUCUCCUCGUGAUGGGAUUCUCUUUUCCUCAAGCCUGCCGUGCCUUCUUCGUGUAAUUGGUGGUAGCACAAUUCUAUCUCGUACAUCAUCAAGCACCACCCAAUCUGUUUGAUCCCCAACUAGCCAUAUAGAUUCUGCAUCCGCAAUUACCAAUGAGUUUGUAGUAUAAUAUUUUGAACACAUUGGGUAGCACGAAAUUUGUCAAUGCGUACAUGCAGCACAAGCAUCUUCUGCUACACAUAUGUCAGAAUCAUCAUAUUACUAGACUCAAUAAUUUUCCAAGCCUAUCAGCACUAACCUUUGAUGCAGGCUCAAAGUGAAUUGACGAUAUUAAAUCAUAGCACUUUGAAUAGGGCUCAAGAGUCCAUUAACAGAAAUGUCGCAACUAUGGACAUUAAGUUAGCAAAACCAGAAUUGAAAUUUUAUAAAUAUAGUAUGAAGAAUAAACGAAGAAACGAAGUAACGAAGAAGAAAUUGAACGAAGAACCAAAGAAGAACAGCACUCUACGUACAAAGAUUCUCAAUCUAAUAGGGUUUUGUUUUUUAGGUUUAUGUUGGUUUUAAAUUUAAGGGUAUUUGUGUCUAUUUAGGUGAGUUUUCUUCUAUAUUUGAAAUUUUUUAUAAAAACUAACAUUUUUGAAAUUAGGGGUCAAGUUUUGGCUAUUUUUGAUAAAUUCUCAUACGAAGGAUUAUCUUUUAGGUGUGAACCUUAAAACACCAUUGGAUGAGAUUUAUGAUUCGUGUAGGAAAAAAAAAUCAAAGGAAGAAUGAGGAGAGCGAUGUUGAAGAAUAUUGAAGUCCCACAUCAGAAACUUAACAAAAUAAUCAAAUACUCCAUAUAAUGAAUGAUUCCACUAUUAAUAAUAUCGAGACUUUUUGUAUAAAAUUUCACAACUGCUAAACAAAUGGUUAAAUUAAAGACAAUAUUGAUAUUAUUAGUAGUGGGUCAUGAGUCCCGAAUAAUUCAAGGGUCAUGAGUCCCGAAUAAUUCAAGGGGAUGGUUUGAAAAAUUCAAUCUAAUUCUGGCUUUCAAUUACUAGUAUCCACUCGUUUUUCCUGAUGUUUUGAUGUCAUGUACUGUUUGAUUUUCAAACUAAUUAUGGGAUGGUUUGAAAAAUCAAACUAAUUAUGGGAUGGUUUGAAAAAUCAAACUUAGAGAAAGCAACCCUUACUGCCUAGAAAAAGAAAAAGGUUAGCCGGCCCUAACUUCUCGUUAAGGAUAAAAAUUUGAACCGGCAAAUCAGUGAACCGGAACCGAAUCUGCAUGAACUGGCUAUAUUUAUAUCUAGUUUUUAAUUUAUUUUUACAGAUGUCUUGUUCUCAUUGUUUUUUUUUUUUGACCUUUCCUAUUGAAAGGGGCGAUAACAUAUUAAACUCACACACACAACACGGAUGUCUUGUUAUCAUUGUUGAUUCUAUACAAUUAGUACAAAGUAAUUUAACAAACAAAGCAAUUUUCUAAAACGGUCCUCCUUUUUUCUCCUUCUAUGGUUUGGUCCUCCUAAUCUAUUCACGGCAAUACUUUGGGCACUGAGGUGAUUGAGCAUAGCCAUUGACAAUAAUACAAUUUAAAGUCUUAAACUCUAUACUUAGCUUAGGGUUAAGUAUUCCAUUAGUGGCAGAAUGUUAAGGCUAAAUAUACGCUAUCUUAAAAAGUCAACCACAAUUAUAUAUGUAACGCACUAUAAAUAUAAAAUGGGGUUAAUGACCUAAAUGGUCUUUCAACUAUUGCUCCAUUAUCAUUUUGGUCCACCAACUAAAAUUUUCAAUUCAAACGUCCUCAAACUUUUUAUUUUGUACCAAGAUGGUCCAUCCGUGACAGAUUCUGUUACUUCUGAUCACGCGAUGGCCACGUGACUGAGUUUUGAAGGGUAUAUGCAACUUUUUGAGAAGCUUUAUCGAAGGGUAUCACUAAAAUGGUCCAUCAACUGUUGCUUCAGUAUCAUUUUGGUCCACCAACUAAAAUUUUCAUUUGAACUGUCCUUCUACUUCUUUUUUUUUUCUUUUUUUUUUGUUAUCAAGAUGGUCCUACUAUCAAAGUCCAUCAAUUUUAUUGUUAUUUAAUUUUGUAUUUAUCUUAUUUUAAAAUUUUUAAUUAAUUUAAACAAUAGAGAAAUAAAUAUUACUUUUUAAGUCCAUGUCAUAAAAUAAAAAAAGCCAUGUUGGUGGUGAGAUUCAAUUUUUUCAAUUUUAAAAUUAGGUACAAGUUCCUAUAAUAGUUUCCUUUAAUUUUAAUUAUUAUUUUCUCUUUUAAAAAAUUUGUUAUUAUAUAUAUGUGAUUUUAAUUAAUUUAAACAAUAGAGAUUUUAUUAUUAAUUGUUAGGUCAGUGUCAUAAAAAAAAAAAAGCCAUGUGGCUAGUGAGAUUCAAAUUUUUAAAAUUUUUUAAGUUUUAUAAUAGUUUCCUUGAUACCAAAAAAAAAAAAAAGAGUUGAAGGAUGGUUCAAAUGAAAAUUUUAGUUGGUGGACUAAAAUGAUACUAGAGCAAUAGUUGGGGGACCAUUGUGAUCAAUAACCCUUUUAGAAGAGGAUACUCACCUAAAAAUACGGUUUUGUCCCUCGAUUUCACGGAAUAAUACACAGACUUUGACAGAUGGACCAUCUUGGUACAAAAUAAAAAGUUUAAGGACGUUUGAAUUGAAAAUUUUAGUUGGUGGACCAAAAUGAUAAUGGGAGCAAUAGUUGGGGGGACCAUUUAGGGUCAUUAACCCAUAUAAAAUCGUUAAGGGUAAUGUUAUACUAGAUCCCGAGUCUAUGCAUUUAGAGUCCACGCAUUUACCCGUAUUUGACUUCAUAUCAACCAUUACAAAGAUCCAACGACUUAAAAUAUGAUAGAUCAUUAUUACAUCAUAAAGUUUUAUUUUUCUAACUGACGUUACUGUUACCAUUUCCUCAAAGCCUUUCUCCCUUGCUUGUUCUCUUCCCUCUCUAAUCUCUCUCAAUUUUUGCUUCUCAUGAAUAUCUACUACCCAGCAUCAUAAAUUGAAUUUCCUAUUUUUAGUACAAUUUCAAUCAAUUCCCCCAUUGCCAAUUGGUUUUGGAGUGUAACCUCAACUUCCUUCACUUAUGUCCUCAGGCUCUCUCCAGUUUGUAUUGUUUGCUUUUUGGGUUUUGUGUAGGUGAAGGAAGUUGAUAAUUGAGUCUGAGAGCGUUUAUGGUGGCGAGAAAGCUUUGUUUCAAUGGAUGUUCUUUUUUUGCAAUGUCUGUUGAUUUGGCUUCCUCGUUUUUAGAGAGACAGAGUUAAUGGAAGGACUAAUGUUAGUUUAGGGAAGAAAAAAAAAACUAAAUUUCAUAACCGACACGUGGUAUAAAAUGUAGAGAUGCCAUAUUAUGUGAUAUAAAAAUGUGGUAAGACUAAUAUUAUUGUAACCGUAAUCAUAUGAUUCAAACUUGAAACCUCAUUCAACUAAGUGAAGACAACUACCCAAAAAAUCAUAAACUAAUUGACAUAAAAACUAUUUAUUAUAAACAAAUUUUGAAUCCAUAUUUUCUGUUAAAUAUAGAUGUAGGACUAGGGUUAAGUAUUAAGUUGGAUGAUAUUUUUGUCUUUUUACUAUAAUUAUUCUCUCUGCUGCUACGGGAUGGGUUAAGGCCUCCCUUGCUGCUGUGAUUAAGGUGGAUAAGGUGCAUUCUUUUAUCUAUUGGAAACCUCCUCGCCCUGCUCAGUUUAAACUUAAUGUUGAUGGGUCUAGAUGCACUUCCUCUGGAUGUAUUGGGGCUGGGGUUGUGAUUCGUGAUGCUUAUGGGGGCGGAUUGGUGGUUUUUCAGUGCACCUUGGCCACAGACAUAUCUUGGAUGCUGAAAUUUGGGGGUUAUAUUUUGGCCUUAAGCUUGCUGUGACUAAGGGUAUAAGCUGCCUUAUUAUUGAAAUGGAUGCUGCUGUGGUUGCCCAACUAGUCAAGAAUAUUGAUGGUCUGGCUCACCACCCCUUUGCUUUACUGAUUAAUGUUUGCUGUGCUCUCAUGCAACAAUUUGCAAAUAGUUGCACUCUCCUUCAUAUUUACAGAGAAGGAAAUUGUGUGGCUGACGGUUUGGCAAAUUGGAGUUACAACUUAGACCUGGGUAUCCUUUAUUUUAAUGAAGCUCCAAAUGUGUCAUAUCUUAAUUCAUUAGAUUAUUAGAACGAUGGGUAAAUGCACACUAUCUAAAUGCAGAGGCUCAGAAUCCGCCUAGUUUAAACUUUUAAGCUAUUUAUAUAUAUAUAUAUAUUUUAUAGAGAUGGACCAAUCAUAUUGAAUUAAAAAAUAACUAUAGUAUUUAUGAUUCCCUAAACUAUGGAGUAUGAUUAGAGUUCAAAUUUGGUAGAGAACUCCUAAAAUAACUUUUAUGUGUUUUUAGCUAAAUUUUAGACACACAAAACUGACCACAUUAGCCGACCACCUUAUGUGGCAGCUGAUGUGGUCAUGCCAUAUUUUUAUCUCACAUUUCCAUACCACAUAAUGUGGCAUGUCCAUAUCAUAUGCCACAUCAAUUAAAUCAAUAGAGUGUAUUUUAAUUAAGACAAUUAGAAAAAAAAAUACUGGAAUAAAUCAUAAAAGAAAAGAAAAUAUUAAAUACUUUUAAUUGAUGUGGUUAUCCACCUCAGCUGCCACAUAAGAUGGUAUAAGGAUGUAGUAUACAAAUAUAGUAAGAGUAGCAUUAUUCUUUCAAUAUAGUAAUCAUCGUUUAGAGAAAGAGUAAGGCUACACUUACUAUAUUUUUAUACCACAAUCCUAUACUAUAUGAUGUGGCAAUCCACAUAAUUAAGCUGACACGUUAAUAAAUUGUGAUAAAAGGUAUUUAAUAUAUUAUUAAUAAUAAUAAUUAAUAUAAUAUAUUAUUAAUUCAACAAACAAUUUAGGGUUAAGUCUUUAUUUAUUUAUUUAGUUCGCAUAAUAGGGUUAAGCCUUUUAUUGAUGUUCUAUUAUGUUCGUCUCUUUCUCUUGCCAGUUUUUUGGUCGGCUUGUUAAUAAAUCACCUACUGUUUUUUUUUUUUUUUAAAAGAAAAAGAUUUCAUUCAUAAGCCAAAACGGCAUACAAAGACUGACAUUAAUUCAUUAGCCUCAUUAAUACCUUCAUAGGAAAACCACUUAGGAUAAACCCCAAGGUAGGAAAGAGUACCACCUAUGUCAAUGACUAACAAGAGAGUUUGACCCAGACCACAAAAGACAGUUACAAGAACAGAAAAAAAAAUCCAACUAAACACCAACAGAGUGGACUCAACUGUCAAAAGAAGCCUUCUAUGAAAAAAACUCUUAGUCCUUUGACUGCCCAUGAACUGCAAAAACACACCAAGGAUAGAAACCCAAGAGAGCAUACGGAGGAAGAGCACAAAAAAAUAACAAGAGAGGCCCUGAAAAGCACCCCAACUCAACUUAGAACCUGACAAAGAAACUUCUAUGACCAAACAUAGGUCUUCGGGCAGCGCAGAGCAGAGACGAGCUGCAAAGGAGCAACAUAACAAUGGAAAAUGACAGCAAAACAGAACACAUCCCAACAACUACCAUCAGUGUCUGUCGCUGCCAUCAAAACAUAGACAAAACAUUAGCCACCAGGUAUCACAACGCUCCCGAAAAAAGAUCAAAUCCAGCGUCACUACUGCUGCCGUCAUCGAGACAGAGACAACACCAGCCACUUACACCACUGCAAAAACAACUAAAUAAAACAAACAGACCUAGAUCCAAACAUAUCAAGGCUAAAAACCCAAGAUCUAAUUAGAUUUGGGAGGAGAAGAGGAAGGGGAUAGAAGGGCCAGCAAGAGCCCCUAGGAAAGUGGGAAGAGAGGGAGAGAGGAGGAAAUGGAGGGAAAAAGAUGGGAAAAGAGGAGAUGAAGGGAGAUGAUGGGCAGUGGCCACCUCCCAUAGCUUAGGAAAGGGUGGUUGUCGGCAAGGAGAAAGAGGGAGGGUUUUGGCUAGGGUUUACUUUGCUAUCUCUUUUGCGUAGCAAUAAAUCACCUACCGUAGGAGUUGCAUAAAAUCCGAUUGCAAAUCCUAGAACUCCCAAAAUCAGAUCGAAUCGUGGCUUAAUUAGCAUCUAUAUGGUCAUAAACAGAUGAAAUCAUGGGUAUUGAAAAAUGAUAAUGAUAUAUCAAAUCUCCUAAAAUCAUCCUUGUCGGUAGAGAAGUUUCAGCGUUGUUCAACAAUUGAAGAUGAGGGUAACACAUUUAAUUCAUUAAUGAUAAGAGCAUUUUAAUACAUAUAACUUGUCUUCCCUAAAAUUACUCUUGCUAGCAUUUUAUUUAGCUUACUUUGCAUUAAUUAUGUUGUUUUUGUCAAUUGGGGUGUUUUGGAAGAUUUCAAUAAAAAAAUAAGGAUAUUUUAGUGCUUAUUAUUCUUGAAUUUGCACAUGGCAGCAACUUUGGGGAGCCAGCAGCUAGAGGAAAUCAUUCAUGUGUGCAGCGAAUGAAAGGCAAUAGGAAUUAAAAAAGAUGGCAAGACUUGCUACACCUUCUGACCAAGGAAGAAAACCCACGUGCGCGAGCAGCCAAAGCCAAAGUAAUGUGUGCAGCAACAAAUGAAAAAGAAAAGGAAAAAGUAUAAAGAAUGAUGUUGGCUGACAAAAGAUAUGAAAUUCAAAUGCCAAUAUGCCUACACGUGAUGAGCAGAGAAAGAUGAAGAAAAGAAAGAGGAAUGGCAGCAGCAAGUUGAAGACCAAUUGGAAGACAUAUGAUGUACAGCAGCCAAAAGAAGAAUGAAAAUGAAAAUAAUGAGAAAGAAUGUUGAGCUGCAGCUUACACGUGAAGAAAGCAAAGGAAAGCAUGGGUAUUUGUGUUCAGCCAAAAGAAGAAGGAAUAAAGCGAUGUUGAUGUAAUAUAACCCACGUUGGUGAUGGGUUAAUGGCAGCUGCAAGAGGAUCUCAUUCCUCUAUAAAUACAGAGCAAUGCAAUGGAAGAGGUGUGCAGAAUUUGGGCACCAAAUAGAGAUAGUGUAGUCCAGUGGAGAAAAGACCCUGGGGAGCAGAGAGGCAAGAAACCAGGGGCAUCUGCCAUUUUAGUUUUUCUUUUUUAAGUUUUCAGCUAGUUUAUAGGGAUAAGGAAAAUGCCAAUAUAAUUGGAGAGAACCUUGGGGAGUCGUGAGGCAACGAUCCAAGGGAUUGAUGAUGCAGUUUCUCCUUCUCUUCCAUGUUUUAGUUUUAUUUCUUCUUUGAGUUUUCAUAUUGUUUUUAUUUUCACUUAUAUCUAGCUAAACUCCUUUAUUAAGGUUGAGGGGGAAACACCAUUAUGAAAUAAAGUUUUAGUUUUUAUUUUUCAAUUCCCAACUAUUAUAUUCUUCAAUGUUUAUAAUUUCACUUCACAUGAUUAAUAAAUUAAUUUUCUUUUCACCACUUCGAUCGUGUAUUUGUGGUAGUUCAGAAUUUAAGUUAAUCUAUUAAUGCAUCCUUGAUUUUGUAUUACUAGUAUACACAUAUCUUCGAUCAUUUGUAGUUAAAUAAUAUUUUUCACAUAGGAUGUUCAGAAUUUGUACUUAUGAAGGGAAGGGGAAUUUAUAUAAGAGAAUUUAUAUAAGAUUCAUUAAAAUGCAUGUUUAAUUGAUAUAUCUUGAGAAAGCAGUAAAUUGAUUCCUAGAUUGCUACUCCAGAGAAUUGUUAGAUAGAUAAUUAGAGUUUUAUAGAAUAAUGGCGUGUAAUCUAAAACCUUAGUUAUUUUUCUCAUUCAUUUAAUCCAUUCUAGUUAUUAUUUGCAUUUUUAAUUUUUAUGCUUUAUUUAAUUUUCUUUUCAACCAACAAAUCAACUUUGAAUCAACUAGGUUAGCGAUUGAAUUAAAUUGGGUUGGAUUAGUUUCCAUCAUUUUCACACAAGUAUUAUAAAUUUAAAACAACACAUUUGGGUGGACAACAAGUUUAAAGUAUUUAUAAAAUAAAGCAACAUUAUUUAUAGAGAACCAAUAUGAGUUCUUUCUCUUUUCUUGGAUUUAGGAGCUCCUAAAAGUCUCUCUAUUUUAGAAGGUGGAUAGGGAG
RNAcentral lists this long non-coding RNA (18897 nucleotides) under Prunus persica (peach). RNAcentral describes it as "long non-coding RNA (PPER_LNC000100)". Lineage: Eukaryota; Viridiplantae; Streptophyta; Magnoliopsida; Rosales; Rosaceae. The record is from RNAcentral.